CAUGCAGUCGAACGAUGAAGCCCUUCGGGGUGGAUUAGUGGCGAACGGGUGAGUAACACGUGGGCAAUCUGCCCUUCACUCUGGGACAAGCCCUGGAAACGGGGUCUAAUACCGGAUAAUACUUUCUCCCUCCUGGGAGAAGGUUGAAAGCUCCGGCGGUGAAGGAUGAGCCCGCGGCCUAUCAGCUAGUUGGUGGGGUAAUGGCCUACCAAGGCGACGACGGGUAGCCGGCCUGAGAGGGCGACCGGCCACACUGGGACUGAGACACGGCCCAGACUCCUACGGGAGGCAGCAGUGGGGAAUAUUGCACAAUGGGCGAAAGCCUGAUGCAGCGACGCCGCGUGAGGGAUGACGGCCUUCGGGUUGUAAACCUCUUUCAGCAGGGAAGAAGCGAAAGUGACGGUACCUGCAGAAGAAGCGCCGGCUAACUACGUGCCAGCAGCCGCGGUAAUACGUAGGGCGCAAGCGUUGUCCGGAAUUAUUGGGCGUAAAGAGCUCGUAGGCGGCUUGUCACGUCGGUUGUGAAAGCCCGGGGCUUAACCCCGGGUCUGCAGUCGAUACGGGCAGGCUAGAGUGUGGUAGGGGAGAUCGGAAUUCCUGGUGUAGCGGUGAAAUGCGCAGAUAUCAGAGGAACACCGGUGGCGAAAGCGGAUCUCUGGGCCAUUACUGACGCUGAGGAGCGAAAGCGUGGGGAGCGAACAGGAUUAGAUACCCUGGUAGUCCACGCCGUAAACGUUGGGAAACUAGGUGUUGGGCGACAUUCCACGUCGUCGGUGCCGCAGCUAACGCAUUAAGUUCCCCGCCUGGGGGGAGUACGGCGCAAGGCUAAAACUCAAAGGAAUUGACGGGGGCCC
This 854-nucleotide ribosomal RNA is filed under the name Streptomyces sp. RNAcentral's name for it is "bacterial SSU rRNA". It matches the Rfam family "Bacterial small subunit ribosomal RNA", at positions 54 to 922 of the family's 1533-position model. The record is from RNAcentral. Lineage: Bacteria; Bacillati; Actinomycetota; Actinomycetes; Kitasatosporales; Streptomycetaceae.